RNAcentral lists this ribosomal RNA (483 nucleotides) under uncultured bacterium. RNAcentral's name for it is "partial 16S ribosomal RNA". It matches the Rfam family "Bacterial small subunit ribosomal RNA", at positions 28 to 507 of the family's 1533-position model. The record is from RNAcentral.
GACGAACGCUGUCGGCGUGCUUAACACAUGCAAGUCGAACGCUGAAGCUCAGCUUUUGUUGGGUGGAUGAGUGGCGAACGGGUGAGUAACACGUGAGUAACCUGCCUCCUUCUUUGGGAUAACGCCCGGAAACGGGUGCUAAUACUGGAUAUUCACUGGUCUUCGCAUGGGGGUUGGUGGAAAGGGUUUUUCUGGUGGGGGAUGGGCUCGCGGCCUAUCAGCUUGUUGGUGGGGUGAUGGCCUACCAAGGCUUUGACGGGUAGCCGGCCUGAGAGGGUGACCGGUCACAUUGGGACUGAGAUACGGCCCAGACUCCUACGGGAGGCAGCAGUGGGGAAUAUUGCACAAUGGGCGCAAGCCUGAUGCAGCGACGCCGCGUGAGGGAUGGAGGCCUUCGGGUUGUGAACCUCUUUCGCUCAUGGUCAAGCCGCAACAAUGGUUGUGGUGAGGGUAGUGGGUAAAGAAGCGCCGGCUAACUACGUG